Molecule: ribosomal RNA, 254 nt
Filed under: uncultured bacterium
Lineage: Bacteria
Description: partial 16S ribosomal RNA
Rfam family: Bacterial small subunit ribosomal RNA
Source: RNAcentral
UACGGGGGGAGCAAGCGUUGUUCGGAUUUACUGGGCGUAAAGGGCGCGUAGGCGGCCACUGCAAGUCGGUUGUGAAAUCUCCGGGCUUAACCCGGAAAGGUCAAUCGAUACUGCAGGGCUAGAGUGCAGAAGGGGCAAUCGGAAUUCUUGGUGUAGCGGUGAAAUGCGUAGAUAUCAAGAGGAACACCUGAGGUGAAGACGGGUUGCUGGGCUGACACUGACGCUGAGGCGCGAAAGCCAGGGGAGCAAACGGG